UACAGAGGUGGCAAGCGUUGUUCGGAAUUACUGGGCGUAAAGGGCGCGUAGGCGGCUUGGUCAGUCCCGUGUGAAAUCCCUCGGCUCAACUGAGGAACUGCACGGGAAACUGCCUGGCUUGAGUUCGGGAGAGGGAAGCGGAAUUCCGGGUGUAGCGGUGAAAUGCGUAGAUAUCCGGAGGAACACCGGUGGCGAAGGCGGCUUCCUGGACCGGCAUUGACGCUGAGGAGCGAAAGCUAGGGGAGCAAACGGG
This 253-nucleotide ribosomal RNA is filed under the name uncultured bacterium. RNAcentral describes it as "partial 16S ribosomal RNA". It matches the Rfam family "Bacterial small subunit ribosomal RNA", at positions 524 to 776 of the family's 1533-position model. The record is from RNAcentral.